This 454-nucleotide long non-coding RNA is filed under the name Homo sapiens (human). Its description in RNAcentral is "long non-coding RNA NONHSAT004958.2". Lineage: Eukaryota; Metazoa; Chordata; Mammalia; Primates; Hominidae. The record is from RNAcentral.
CCCAUCCCCAAAGGCACUGCAAAUACCUUAUCCCCAGUAUUUCCAGUAUUGGUAUCCUCCAAAGUUUAAUAGGAUAUGGCCGAAUAUUUCUUCCCUUGAGGUUUCUAACCCAAAACAAGUGCUCCCAAAUUAGCUUUGUCAACAGUUUCUUCUGUUCAAGUUGCAAACCACAAGAGAGGUGUUAUUGUAACCCUUUGGGCUCAAUCCAUGAUCGUUGUAAUGGCUCAGGAUUUUGUGAGUGUAAGACUGGAACAACAGGGCCUAAGUGUGAUGAGUGUCUGCCGGGAAAUUCCUGGCACUACGGCUGUCAACGAAUGUCUGCGACAACGAGCUCCUGCACUGCCAGAACGGAGGGACGUGCCACAACAACGUGCGCUGCCUGUGCCCGGCCGCAUACACGGGCAUCCUCUGCGAGAAGCUGCGGUGCGAGGAGGCUGGCAGCUGCGGCUCCGAC